AAGGAUCAUUACCAAUCCAAAGAUUACAUCUUUUCCUGUGAAUUAAAUGAAAUGUUUUUAAUAUUUGGGUGACUUGAGGAAUAGUCAAUAUUUUUCAAAUCACCCAAAUAUUUUGAAUAACAACGCCUUAUAAAAACUUUUUAUAAUUUAAAAUUGUUUUGUUGAUAAUAUUGUUUCAUUACACAUUAUCAUCAAUACAAAAAAAAUAAAAAAAAAAUAACAACUUUUAGCGGUGGAUCUCUUGGCUCAU
RNAcentral lists this unclassified non-coding RNA (250 nucleotides) under uncultured fungus. RNAcentral describes it as "partial contains 18S rRNA, ITS1, 5.8S rRNA, ITS2 and 28S rRNA". The record is from RNAcentral. Lineage: Eukaryota; Fungi.